Molecule: non-coding RNA, 31 nt
Filed under: Rattus norvegicus (Norway rat)
Lineage: Eukaryota; Metazoa; Chordata; Mammalia; Rodentia; Muridae
Source: RNAcentral
UACACGUUGUUGACUAAGUCAUCCCUUCAGC